GUGCACUGUGGCAGCACACACACGAAAAUUGCAACGAUUCAGAGAAGAUUAGCACGGCCCCUGCACGAGGAUGACAGGCCAAUUCGUUUGGCUUCCAUAUGUUU
This 104-nucleotide small nuclear RNA is filed under the name Moschus moschiferus (Siberian musk deer). Lineage: Eukaryota; Metazoa; Chordata; Mammalia; Artiodactyla; Moschidae. The record is from RNAcentral.